This 498-nucleotide ribosomal RNA is filed under the name uncultured bacterium. RNAcentral describes it as "partial 16S ribosomal RNA". It matches the Rfam family "Bacterial small subunit ribosomal RNA", at positions 30 to 523 of the family's 1533-position model. The record is from RNAcentral.
AUUGAACGCUGGCGGCAUGCCUUACACAUGCAAGUCGAACGGUAACGGGUCUUCGGAUGCUGACGAGUGGCGAACGGGUGAGUAAUACAUCGGAACGUGCCUAGUAGUGGGGGAUAACUACUCGAAAGAGUGGCUAAUACCGCAUGAAAUCUACGGAUGAAAGCAGGGGAUCGCAAGACCUUGUGCUACUAGAGCGGCCGAUGGCAGAUUAGGUAGUUGGUGGGAUAAAAGCUUACCAAGCCGACGAUCUGUAGCUGGUCUGAGAGGACGAUCAGCCACACUGGGACUGAGACACGGCCCAGACUCCUACGGGAGGCAGCAGUGGGGAAUUUUGGACAAUGGGCGCAAGCCUGAUCCAGCAAUGCCGCGUGCAGGAUGAAGGCCUUCGGGUUGUAAACUGCUUUUGUACGGAACGAAAAGCCCCGGGUUAAUACCCUGGGGUCAUGACGGUACCGUAAGAAUAAGCACCGGCUAACUACGUGCCAGCCGCCGCGGUAA